UACGUAGGGUGCGAGCGUUGUCCGGAAUUAUUGGGCGUAAAGGGCUCGUAGGCGGUUUGUCGCGUCGGGAGUGAAAACACCGGGCUUAACUCGGUGCUUGCUUUCGAUACGGGCAGACUAGGGGCAUGCAGGGGAGAACGGAAUUCCUGGUGUAGCGGUGAAAUGCGCAGAUAUCAGGAGGAACACCGGUGGCGAAGGCGGUUCUCUGGGCAUGUCCUGACGCUGAGGAGCGAAAGUGUGGGGAGCGAACAGG
Molecule: ribosomal RNA, 253 nt
Filed under: uncultured bacterium
Lineage: Bacteria
Description: partial 16S ribosomal RNA
Rfam family: Bacterial small subunit ribosomal RNA
Source: RNAcentral